UACAGAGGUCUCAAGCGUUGUUCGGAUUCAUUGGGCGUAAAGGGUGCGUAGGUGGCGAGGAAAGUCGGAUGUGAAAGCUCGGAGCUCAACUCCGAAAUGGCAUUGGAAACUACCUUGCUCGAGGGUUGGAGGGGGGACUGGAAUUCUCGGUGUAGCAGUGAAAUGCGUAGAUAUCAAGAGGAACACCAGUGGCGAAGGCGAGUCCCUGGACGAUACCUGACACUGAGGCACGAAAGCCAAGGGAGCAAACAGG
RNAcentral lists this ribosomal RNA (253 nucleotides) under uncultured bacterium. Its description in RNAcentral is "partial 16S ribosomal RNA". It matches the Rfam family "Bacterial small subunit ribosomal RNA", at positions 524 to 776 of the family's 1533-position model. The record is from RNAcentral.